UGUUUAGUUGUGUGGGACUGACACGAGUUGUCAAAUAUGUCACUUGAGAUCUACCUUAUAUCUACAAGAGUGCAGUUAUCCAUCAGAAACAUUAAUUCGAACAGCAACCACUGGAUGCUGGAGUAAAAAGGAGACAAAGUACUUGCAUUGUAUCCCUUCCAUGGAGAAAGUCUAUAUUUUAGGGACGCCCGUAUCUGUCAGUGGACUGAUGUACAAUGAUACCAAAUUUUAAUGUCUACGUCUCCGUUAUUUAAGGAAUGACUGUAAUAUUUUUUUUUCUGUCUAUGAUUUGGUGCACACUGAAUAACGCGCUUAGCGGGUUAUUUAACAGUGUGCACCCCAUUUUUUAUGUUAUUUCGAAUAGACAGAAAAAAUAUUACAGUCAUUUCUUAUAACUUAAUUCUAAAUUCCAUUUUAAACCGUAGAAAACCAUGAAAAACGUUGAUGACGUCACGGCCACAUGACUAAAUUAUGUCUAUGGGCUGAUAACAAAAUAACGUCAGCCAAUCAGAAGACGCGUUACAUCCACAAUUAAAUAAUUCUCAGGUUAAUUUAAAAAAAAUUAAUAAACAUCAGAUUCAGAACGUCAUGUAACAAGGAAUCAAAGCAGAACUCUUUUGCCUUUGUGGUAUAAAUCAUACAACUCUUUAAUAACAAAAUAUGGCUAUACAUAUAACCAAGUACUUUGUUUUUCAAAUUGUUCUUUCCCUUCUAUGUUUGUCUUGGGUUCUUUAGUUAUCUGGUAUUCGAUUAUUCCAUAUUCAUAACUCAGCUAUCAUUUGAAAACACUUGUACAAGUUUUCAUAGAUAUUGUGUAAAGUGAAAAUGAAAACUGACAACUGCUUGUAUUUCUGUUAAAAAUAAGCUACUUUUACGCCUCAAAUUUUCGAAAAUGCGAGAAAGCAAUGGAAUGACAGCUGGAACUUUAUUGUAUUAUUUAUACGCAUACUCCAUGGAAAUGAACCAACUAAUUGCGUCGUCCAUAAUGUACAGCAUACUCCUUCUCAAGCAGACCCACUUAGCAGUACUUUUUGUUUCAGGUUCGUAUACUAUGCUAAAAACUAGAAGCAAAAUUUAUCUACCGUAGUAUCUAUACUGCUACUAUAGCAUUUUAAUGUACGUCAACCAACAUUUAGUUUUACGAGUGUUUUCAUUCCUGUCUGUGUAUAAUUCACGACAUAUUUUAAUUUUUUGUUUGUUGACGCACAAAACAUCA
RNAcentral lists this long non-coding RNA (1216 nucleotides) under Mytilus galloprovincialis (Mediterranean mussel). Lineage: Eukaryota; Metazoa; Mollusca; Bivalvia; Mytilida; Mytilidae. The record is from RNAcentral.